GGAAGCUCAGGAGUGAGAGGAAGCUCAGGAGUGAGAGGAAGCUCAGGAGUGAGAGGAAGCUCAGGAGUGAGAGGAAGCUCAGGAGUGAGAGGAAGCUCAGGCCGGUAAAUAGAUCUACCAGCUCCUGGCUGGCUGGUGGUUUCAGCAGAUCCUGGCUGACUGGCAGAUCCUGGCUGACUGGCAGAUCCUGGCUGACUGGCAGAUCUGGAAGAGUCUGGUUGACUGGCAGAUCUGGAAGAGUCUGGUUGACCGGCAGAUCUGGAAGAGUCUGGUUGACUGGCAGAUCUGGAAGAGUCAGGUUGACUGGCAGAUCUGGAAGAGUCAGGUUGACUGGCAGAUCUGGAAGAGUCAGGUUGACUGGCAGAUCUGGAAGAGUCAGGUUGACUGGCAGAUCUGGAAGAGUCAGGUUGACUGGCAGAUCUGGAAGAGUCUGGUUGACUGGCAGAUCUGGAAGAGUCUGGUUGACUGGCAGAUCUGGAAGAGUCUGGCUGACUGGCAGAUCUGGAAGAGUCUGGCUGACUGGCAGAUCUGGAAGAGUCUGGCUGACUGGCAGAUCUGGAAGAGUCUGGUUGACUGGCAGAUCUGGAAGAGUCUGGCUGACUGGCAGAUCUGGAAGAG
Molecule: long non-coding RNA, 618 nt
Organism: Oncorhynchus tshawytscha (Chinook salmon)
Lineage: Eukaryota; Metazoa; Chordata; Actinopteri; Salmoniformes; Salmonidae
Source: Ensembl